GGGGUUGUGGUCUAGCUUGGUAUGAUUCACGGUUCGGGGCCGUGAGGUCGGGGGUUCGAAUCCCCUCAACCCCA
RNAcentral lists this transfer RNA (74 nucleotides) under Candidatus Woesearchaeota archaeon. RNAcentral describes it as "tRNA-Pro". It matches the Rfam family "tRNA". Rfam says of the family: Transfer RNA (tRNA) molecules are approximately 80 nucleotides in length. The record is from RNAcentral. Lineage: Archaea; Nanobdellati; Candidatus Woesearchaeota.